Molecule: long non-coding RNA, 715 nt
Filed under: Elaeis guineensis (African oil palm)
Lineage: Eukaryota; Viridiplantae; Streptophyta; Magnoliopsida; Arecales; Arecaceae
Description: long non-coding RNA (EGUI_LNC012073)
Source: RNAcentral
AAGGUUAGCUCAGCAAGCGUGCCUCGCAACGAGGGGAGAGGGGACCCUACAACGUUGACUGGGGUCAACCGAGUAGACACACCUGUCUAUAAAAAUGGCAUGGUGACCCUGAAGGCCCAAGCAAUCCAAAAACAGAGCAGCUCUUUAUACAUACCUGAGCCAUCCUUGUGCAUGGCAACCAAGAGUCAGAGUGACCACCUUGCUCGGGUAGGGAGGGAGGCCUUUGACAUCCUAGAUGAGUGCCUAGGCCGGAAGAGGAGGCCACCACCACCUCAUGCAAUCCACCAACCCAAGCCGGUCCAAUACUUUGCUGCUCCGAAGAAAGAGCCCACAGAUAGCACCCAAGCCGCUAAAGAACUCGGCGGGGUUUUGUUUGUGGCUCACCGUCGCCGGGUGUUCUAUUAAGAUCUCCAUGGAUGCUAUGUAGCUAAGCUUUUUAUUUGGCUUGCUCCUACGUACGUACCAUGUAAAGCUUAGCUUUUUAUUUGGCUUGCUUAUAUGUAUGUACCGUGUAACACCAUGUAAAGCUUAGCUUUUUAUUUGGCUUGCUUAUAUGUAUGUAUCGUGUAACAUGGUGUAUUAGAAUUUAGAAGCGGUAUAAUACUACAAGCUGUUUGAUAAAAUCCAGUCUGUGAUUUGUUUUGAUGGGCGUCUGGUUUGCAUAUGGUUACCUAAUGGUCAGAGCUGUAUUGGAGUGUUUUUUUAGAAAGGAGCG